This 486-nucleotide ribosomal RNA is filed under the name uncultured bacterium. Its description in RNAcentral is "partial 16S ribosomal RNA". It matches the Rfam family "Bacterial small subunit ribosomal RNA", at positions 30 to 507 of the family's 1533-position model. The record is from RNAcentral.
AUUGAACGCUGGCGACAUGCCUUACACAUGCAAGUCGAACGGCAGCACGGGUGCUUGCCCCUGGUGGCGAGUGGCGAACGGGUGAGUAAUACAUCGGAACAUGUCCUGUAGUGGGGGAUAGCCCGGCGAAAGCCGGAUUAAUACCGCAUACGAUCUACGGAUGAAAGCGGGGGACCUUCGGGCCUCGCGCUAUAGGGUUGGCCGAUGGCUGAUUAGCUAGUUGGUGGGGUAAAGGCCUACCAAGGCGACGAUCAGUAGCUGGUCUGAGAGGACGACCAGUCACACUGGGACUGAGACACGGCCCAGACUCCUACGGGAGGCAGCAGUGGGGAAUUUUGGACAAUGGGCGAAAGCCUGAUCCAGCAAUGCCGCGUGUGUGAAGAAGGCCUUCGGGUUGCAAAGCACUUUUGUCCGGAAAGAAAUCCUUGGCCCUAAUACGGUCGGGGGAUGACGGUACCGGAAGAAUAAGCACCGGCUAACUACGUG